UGCCCAUUAGCUCAGUUGGUUAGAGCAUCGUGCUAACAACGCAAAGGUCGCAGGUUCGAUACCUACAUGGGCCA
RNAcentral lists this transfer RNA (74 nucleotides) under Erythranthe guttata (spotted monkey flower). RNAcentral describes it as "Mimulus guttatus (spotted monkey flower) tRNA". It matches the Rfam family "tRNA". Rfam says of the family: Transfer RNA (tRNA) molecules are approximately 80 nucleotides in length. Their secondary structure includes four short double-helical elements and three loops (D, anti-codon, and T loops). Further hydrogen bonds mediate the characteristic L-shaped molecular structure. tRNAs have two regions of fundamental functional importance: the anti-codon, which is responsible for specific mRNA codon recognition, and the 3' end, to which the tRNAs corresponding amino acid is attached (by aminoacyl-tRNA synthetases). tRNAs cope with the degeneracy of the genetic code in two manners: having more than one tRNA (with a specific anti-codon) for a particular amino acid; and 'wobble' base-pairing, i.e. permitting non-standard base-pairing at the 3rd anti-codon position. Lineage: Eukaryota; Viridiplantae; Streptophyta; Magnoliopsida; Lamiales; Phrymaceae. The record is from Rfam by way of RNAcentral.